Molecule: ribosomal RNA, 497 nt
Filed under: uncultured bacterium
Lineage: Bacteria
Description: partial 16S ribosomal RNA
Rfam family: Bacterial small subunit ribosomal RNA
Source: RNAcentral
GAUGAACGCUGGCGGCGUGCCUAAUACAUGCAAGUCGAGCGAGCGGACGAGAAGCUUGCUUCUCUGAUGUUAGCGGCGGACGGGUGAGUAACACGUGGAUAACCUACCUAUAAGACUGGGAUAACUUCGUGAAACCGGAGCUAAUACCGGAUAAUAUUUUGAACCGCAUGGUUCAAAAGUUAAAGACGGUCUUCCUGUCACUUAUAGAUGGAUCCGCGCUGCAUUAGCUAGUUGGUAAGGUAACGGCUUACCAAGGCAACGAUGCAUAGCCGACCUGAGAGGGUGAUCGGCCACACUGGAACUGAGACACGGUCCAGACUCCUACGGGAGGCAGCAGUAGGGAAUCUUCCGCAAUGGGCGAAAGCCUGACGGAGCAACGCCGCGUGAGUGAUGAAGGUCUUCGGAUCGUAAAACUCUGUUAUUAGGGAAGAACAUAUGUGUAAGUAAAUGUGCACAUCUUGACGGUACCUAAUCAGAAAGCCACGGCUAACUACGUG